CGGGGCGUGGCGCAGUUUGGUAGCGUGCUUGGUUCGGGUACCAAGAGGCCGUGGGUUCGAAUCCCGUCGCCCCGA
Molecule: transfer RNA, 75 nt
Filed under: Desulfosporosinus sp. I2
Lineage: Bacteria; Bacillati; Bacillota; Clostridia; Eubacteriales; Desulfitobacteriaceae
Rfam family: tRNA
About the family: Transfer RNA (tRNA) molecules are approximately 80 nucleotides in length. Their secondary structure includes four short double-helical elements and three loops (D, anti-codon, and T loops). Further hydrogen bonds mediate the characteristic L-shaped molecular structure. tRNAs have two regions of fundamental functional importance: the anti-codon, which is responsible for specific mRNA codon recognition, and the 3' end, to which the tRNAs corresponding amino acid is attached (by aminoacyl-tRNA synthetases). tRNAs cope with the degeneracy of the genetic code in two manners: having more than one tRNA (with a specific anti-codon) for a particular amino acid; and 'wobble' base-pairing, i.e. permitting non-standard base-pairing at the 3rd anti-codon position.
Source: Rfam by way of RNAcentral